UACGUAGGGGGCAAGCGUUGUCCGGAUUUAUUGGGCGUAAAGAGCGUGUAGGCGGCCAUGCAGGUCCGUUGUGAAAACUCGAGGCUCAACCUCGAGACGUCGAUGGAAACCGCACGGCUAGAGUCCGGGAGAGGAGAGUGGAAUUCCUGGUGUAGCGGUGAAAUGCGCAGAUAUCAGGAAGAACACCCGUGGCGAAAGCGGCUCUCUGGAACGGUACUGACGCUGAGGCGCGAAAGCUAGGGGAGCAAACGGG
This 253-nucleotide ribosomal RNA is filed under the name uncultured bacterium. RNAcentral describes it as "partial 16S ribosomal RNA". It matches the Rfam family "Bacterial small subunit ribosomal RNA", at positions 524 to 776 of the family's 1533-position model. The record is from RNAcentral.